Molecule: long non-coding RNA, 785 nt
Filed under: Mus pahari (shrew mouse)
Lineage: Eukaryota; Metazoa; Chordata; Mammalia; Rodentia; Muridae
Description: lncRNA (MGP_PahariEiJ_G0003982.1)
Source: RNAcentral
ACAGGCAGUCCCCCAGUCUUCCAACUGAGCCUGUUUCUGCUGCCGACGAGGGAGGGGCCUCUUGGAGGCCUUUUGUGGCCCCUUCCAUCUCCUGCGCCACCAAAUGUGGGCUCUGCAGGGCAGGCGAGUGCCGGUGAGGCAACCUCUGGUCUUGGCGUCCCACAAUCCUCCUCCUCCCCGUUAAGAGAACUUGCGUUUCUUCAUGGCUUCUGCCUUGACCGCCAGGCUCUUGGCACAGAUGGUCAGGACCACAAUGAGAACGCCCACCACAAACGCCACCACCGGCCAGAGGAAGCAGUGCAGGAGAGCGAUCUCAUCGUGAGUGCGCUGUAGGAGAACGUCCUCUGGUCUGCAAGAGAGUGAAGGACAGGAAAACCAGUGAGUCUCUCAGCCCAGCAAACUCUACACAACCUGCAGACAAGUGUUCUCCAGCCCAGGGGAAUAAUCACCCUUGAACAUGAUGACUUUGAUUACAGACACCGAACCAGUCUGCUCCACACCCAUUUCCAAAAGCUGUGAGCUCUCGAAUCAAUCAUUACUGAGGAUGGUACUGAAUGCCAUUAUCACAAUGUGGAACAACCAACCGACUGGAACCACCACACCCGGAGCACGGGCUGGAGAAAAUGGGGAGGAAACAGGCAGGGGAGAAGGAACCAACCGGAAACUGUUGGAUCCAAGAGCGUGUUUUCCUCAGAAACUUUCUAGAAUUCCAUCUCCCAGAUCCUGGGCAACGCUUAUGUUUCAGAGCUUUAAGUGACAAAAUAAAAUGACUCAUUGGAGCUGAA